UAAGGCUAAAUACUCUCUAGUGACCGAUAGUGAACCAGUACCGUGAGGGAAAGGUGAAAAGCACCCCGGAAGGGGAGUGAAAUAGAACCUGAAACCGUGUGCUUACAAGUAGUCAGAGCCCGUUAAUGGGUGAUGGCGUGCCUUUUGUAGAAUGAACCGGCGAGUUACGAUUUGAUGCAAGGUUAAGCAGUAAAUGUGGAGCCGUAGCGAAAGCGAGUCUGAAUAGGGCGUUUAGUAUUUGGUCGUAGACCCGAAACCAGGUGAUCUACCCUUGGUCAGGUUGAAGUUCAGGUAACACUGAAUGGAGGACCGAACCGACUUACGUUGAA
Molecule: ribosomal RNA, 329 nt
Filed under: Staphylococcus aureus
Lineage: Bacteria; Bacillati; Bacillota; Bacilli; Caryophanales; Staphylococcaceae
Description: partial 23S ribosomal RNA
Rfam family: Bacterial large subunit ribosomal RNA
Source: RNAcentral